GCUGGGGUACCGAAGCGGUCAAACGGGAUAGGCUUAGGACCUAUUGGCUUAGUGCCUUCGCAGGUUCAAGUCCUGCCUCCAGCA
This 84-nucleotide transfer RNA is filed under the name Candidatus Diapherotrites archaeon CG09_land_8_20_14_0_10_32_12. RNAcentral describes it as "tRNA-Leu". It matches the Rfam family "tRNA". From Rfam's summary of the family: Transfer RNA (tRNA) molecules are approximately 80 nucleotides in length. Their secondary structure includes four short double-helical elements and three loops (D, anti-codon, and T loops). The record is from RNAcentral. RNAcentral also lists the same sequence under 1 other name. Lineage: Archaea; Nanobdellati; Candidatus Iainarchaeota.